This 349-nucleotide long non-coding RNA is filed under the name Numida meleagris (helmeted guineafowl). RNAcentral's name for it is "lncRNA (ENSNMEG00000005237.1)". Lineage: Eukaryota; Metazoa; Chordata; Aves; Galliformes; Numididae. The record is from RNAcentral.
CUGGCAGGGAAAUCUUUAGCAGUUUGACAAUAUGAUUUUAUAUUUGUGUUUCUGUGACAGUUCUGAUUCUAGAGUUCUACUGAAUCACUGACAACCAUGGCAACAUGAUGGGAAAAGAGACAAAAGAACCAUGCUGUUGAAGCUGUGAAGAAGAGACUGCUGUUGCUUGAGUUGAUUAUAGCUGGACUCAGACAGCACAUUUACUCCUCUGAAUAGUGGCUAUUGACCUCAUACCAACACUACAGUGGAACCGCAGGACAUCCUCUUUUGACACCUAGUAAGUGACCCUUUGUCAUUUUGUGUGUCCAUUAUCUCAUGAACUUCUUUAUUUUUUGUGUUGGUUUACUUA